This 126-nucleotide ribosomal RNA is filed under the name Neogale vison (American mink). The record is from RNAcentral. Lineage: Eukaryota; Metazoa; Chordata; Mammalia; Carnivora; Mustelidae.
GUCUAUAGCCAUACCACACUGAAUGGGCCUAAUCUUGUCCAAUCUCAGAAGCUAAGCAGGGUUGGGCCUGGUUAGGACUUGGAUGGGAAGAAAAUUUAAGAAAUAACAUUUAAGAAAUGUUAGACC